The sequence is a non-coding RNA, 241 nucleotides long. It matches the Rfam family "Early nodulin 40". The record is from Rfam.
AUGGAAGUGCUUUGGCAAGAAGGCCCUCAUGGCUCUUAGAAAAAAGCAUCAAGUUCAUGGAGAGGGAUAUAUUCUGACGACCCUCCUCCUCCAAAAUUCAACAGUUUGUCUGUGCUUCACUCUUUUAGCUCUCUGUUAGCCACUGAAGCAGCAGCAGCAUUAAAAUCUACCAGAGGCUUUUGGCUAAUGCAUGGCAAACCGGCAAGUCACGAAACGGCAAUGGGCUCGGCUAUUGAAUCUU